Long non-coding RNA from Gadus morhua (Atlantic cod), 3150 nucleotides. The record is from Ensembl. NCBI's taxonomy places the organism in Eukaryota, Metazoa, Chordata, Actinopteri, Gadiformes, Gadidae.
AUGGAGAGAAGCCAGAAGAAUGCCAGCAGAAAGAGUCGACGCAGGGCAGCACGGCAGGCAAAGCUGAAGGACCUCUUCUCUACGAAAGAUCCCAAACCAGAUCAGGCUCACGAUAAGGAAGCGUCGCCUUUGGAGCCACCAUCAGACAGUACGAAGCAGGGCGAACCCCUGAGGAAAUCGUUUUUGGGCUCUCCGUCGUGUUCCGAAGGCUCUUCCGCCGAUCCAAAAGGUGACAUCUCACCAGCACAGAGCGGAGAAUCUUCCGAGGCAGAAAAAUCCGAGAGCAUCGAUACUGUCCAUCCUCUGAGUGCAAAAAGGAGCGAGGUGACAGCAGCGACACAUGCCAGACAACCACAUUUAGAGGAGAAACUGGAACAGAAGCAGCAUUCUGCUGCAUUUAUAACAGGGGAAAACGGACAUAGGCCAUUGCAGAGUAUGAGACGAAGAGAUGAUAGAGUCUGUAUUGUCCACAACACAGGAGAGGAAUCACAUAGCGAUGUCCGUUUGACAGAGCACCCAGAAGGCCCUGUCAACGCACCCGGUAGCUUUACGUUCGGGACCGUGCUGGCUCCCCUCUACCCCCUGGUGUGUGGCCAGCUGAAAAGUGAAGAUCGCAACCUGGCUGAUCAAUUGAAAUCAUUGAGAGGGCCUUCACAGAUGGGAGCCUCAAUGGAGAACAGCAUGUUGACGGAUUCGACUAAAAACUACGAGGAGUCUUCUGGGAUCAGGCCAGAUCCGUUCAAGCCUCCUCUGAAUGAUACCGAUAGAACUGUUCCGAUAGAGGGAAAAUUGUGUGUAAGCGUGGUUGCAGACUCAAGCACAAACCCUACAGAUGUCGACUGUCAGGAAUCAGAGCAUGAAUGCACAGAGGCACCAAAUAAUCCCCAGCCGACCACGGAUGAAGACAUGACUCCUUCAGAUGAAAACAAUGAGAAGUCGAACGCAUGCACCACCAGAGCGGGUUUAAAUCACCAGGGGAACUCUGACGAAGGCCCUCAGGCCCUUGGGUGUCAACUGCAGAUUCUGUAUGAAAAGCAAAUAAUGGAAGCUACAGCAGAGCCUGAAACAGAAGCAGAGGAAGUGUUUUCGUAUAUUCAGACGCAAUUAAACCCAUCGCAGCCACCCUCACAACCGAAAGUCCAGCAGGAAACCAGUCAUUGCGCGCCACUGCCGCACUCGCCUCCGUUGGUGUCAGCGUGUGAAAACAAAGCGCUGGAGCAACAGCUCUGCUGUGAGGUGGCGGCGGUAGACUUCAUUUGCACAGGUGAGUCGAAUGAACAGGAUGGUGUUCCGCCCACUGAGGCUGUGUCAACAACUCAUGUGUACCCGGAACAGGGCAGAGAAAGAGAGCAACUGGAGGAGCUGGAUCCUAAAUGUUUUAUGCGUCCUGUUACGUUUGAGGCCGCUGAUAUAUCGGUCGGGGAUAAAAGUAUCCCAGAGUUGGAAGCUGGGCAUGGAGGCUCUGCUAUCGAUCUCAGCCAAGAGACCCUGAAAGCAUCAAUGGAGGAUGGUGAAGAACCGGACAACGGAGGGAAUGAAUCAACAAACAAUAUAGAGGAAGGGGAUAUAACCCCUACAGUUGAACAUGAGGACAGUGUGGAUGUAUCUGAGUUUAUCAAAGUGAAUAAAACCCCUUGUACACACCUAGACAUGUUGGCUGAAGAAAUUGGACUAACUCUGGUAGAAGAAACUAUUUUAAUGCAAUCAGAGGCUGAACGCUGCGCAAGUGAAGACGCAGCCACAAAAAAGGACUACCUCAGGCCAGAUGAAGAGAAAGCCGAGGACAGAAACUGGGAAAUGAUGGUCAAAGAAGAGGAAAACAAUGCAUCAGGCAAAGAGGUCAUGAGGAAAGAGGUUGACGAAAAUGGUGAGAGAGGAGAGAACGACAAGCUGAAAGAAAAGCAAACGAUCACAGAGCAACAACCUUUGGAGAAUGUGGUGGGCUGUGAAAAGAGAGAGCCAACUAAUACAGGGUCUGAUGGACAAAAAAGUUUUGAUUCGACAGAAGUGAAAAGUCAAGUUGAAGUUGAAACUGUGAAGGAACCCCUCGUUUUGGAGGAACAGGAAGUGGAAGAGGAAAAGGUUGAGAAAGAUGGUGAUCAUGACACAGAGAACCAGCAUGAAGUAUUGGAGGAAAUAAGGAGCAAAGAGAAGGAAAACCUAGCUGAAACCGACAUAGAAACUCAGGUAGAAGUAGAAGCUCAGGCAGAGCGAAUUUCAGCCGCUGUUGAGGUUCAUGGAGCAGGGAAAGGAGGGGUGGCGGUGGAGACAGGUGAGGAGAUUGUGGUCGGAACAGCGAAAGAAGAGAGAAACGAAGAGACGGAGAGGCCAGAGAUGGGGUCACACGCUGGUCAAAGGCAAAUGGAGAGCGAUCCAUCUACGCCAGUGAGCAAUGUGCAUGAGUGUGAGGUAGAAAGGGUAAUAGCCAAAGAAAACGCCCCGAAAAAUGAAACCACAAAUUUCCAGACUGAAAUGGAGUUUAUCUCAGAAGAAGAGGUGCGAAGCAUCACUUACAGGUUACACCUUGCAAGCGGCCAAUCAAAAGCACUUUCUGAAUCGUCCCGAUGUGGAAGUGAUUCGUGGGCAGCAGACAAAGGGUCACGUGCCUCGACCGACGAGCCGGAAUGGGAUGUAACAGCCGAGGAGCGGGAGGUGGACAGCAACUCCAGUGACUCUCCGUCGGAUGAAGAGAUGGAGUUGUACAUGCACCGCCUGCGGGCAGCGCCAUCCCCCCAAACUUUCAGAAGCUUCCCCAGAGAUCGUGGCUCACGUACGGGUAAAGGACUCUCGAUAGACGGACCAAAGCUCCUGUCUUCGUCCAUGCCAUCCAUCAGUGAAUCUGUGAAUGAGGAACAGCUCACAAAGAUCCCGGACAAGCCAGAAAAGAAGGAAGUAGAGAACUUCCAGUCCGACUCUGGACAAUUUCCAACACAGGACAAUCAGGAAUAUGGAGGCGUAAACAUUGCCCAGUGGACGUCCAAAUUAUCUUGCAGUAAUAUCUUAAAGGCACUUUUAUACAUCACCAUGUGUGCUUUAUUUGUAGUUGUCGGAUACCAUUAUGAUUUCCUGGCGUGUUUUGCUCUUUACUUGUUGUCCAUAUUUUGGCUGUAUUGCCGAGCAGACCGUCAGUCGGAAACAACAAUGUUCUGA